UCCAGGACCCUGCCCCACGGCAGACCGGCCUCUGCCCUGUGGAUCCCAGGACCCUGCCCAACAGCAGGCUGCCCUCUGCCCUGUGCAUCCCAAGCACUUUCUCUGUGCUGCCUGGUGUUGCAGAAGUCCUGCCUCGCCAUGGACACCGUGGAAAUGAACAGGCUUGCUGAGUGACUGGCAUUUGCAAAGCUUUCACAAAUAACACUAAACACCGUGAUUUCCUCAAGAUGUUCUGGAGCCCUCAGACUGGGCCCUCUCUGUUGUGGGGUGCUCAAUCUUCCCAGGCUCAGGCUGCCCCAGGGGCUGGGCCACGCUGCCCCAGGGGCUGGGCCACGCAGCCCCUAUCGUCACCCUCACUACCCAGGCCUCUAGCCUGCACCCUUCCCCUCCCUACACUCCCCACAGGCAGCUCUCAUCAAGCAACUGCUUCUCCAAGCGCUUGUGACUAAACCCCAAAGAGGCCUGGAAAGAGGAUGUUGGAAACAAGCAGGGGGUGCACUUUGGGGGAGGCGAGGCCUGGGAAGCCGGCACACUUCUAUGUGAGUGGAGGCUGUUGGCUGAUUGGCCACUUGACCUUUGACCUGAGCCCCAAGGAAAGUGCACCCUCCUCUCUUUCAUUUUGUUUAUGGCUUCAUACAAGCUUCCCAUUUACGUGAACAUUCUGACAGAAGAGGGCUCUCAUUUGGCCAGGUCCUGAAAGCAGAGAAUUCUGCUCCUUCUAUGGGACCAGCAGCCUCUCUUGCGGGCGUUUGGCUCUGCCUGCGAGGCAGGUGGGCUGCCAAGGCUUCCCAGCUGGGCUUUUCUGCUUUAGAUAAGCUGAGAUAUUUGUGCAUGAAACCUUCUGCGAUGUGACCCUGCGAAAUGCAUGCUGCGCCACACCCUUUUAUCGUUGUUAAUUGAGAGCAGAGUGUUGCUAAACUUACCAUGUGAUGGAUAUUUCUCCGUUUUGAUAUUGCACAGAAUGAAGAACAUAGCAGACAGAUGAAGUAGGCCUGGUGGUGCUCUGAGCAGAACAAAUCCUAAGGCCAGGUUAGACUAGCUUUGCACUGUUUCCCUCGUGUCUAGAUUUCUGAAGGAUGAGUCUUUUGAUUUGUUUCUAACCUGCUUAAAAGAGAUGGGGAGGCGGAGGAAGCAAGGAGCCGAGGUGCAGCCGGAUGCCUCCCAGGAUGAAUAAUGGCAACAAGAAACAGAGUUCUUAAAGCCCAGAUGAUAAGGGCCUCAGUCUGGGUGUGAAUGAACUUGGCCUGACUUCUUUGCUGCCGUCAUAUGAACCGGAAGGAGACAGCUUAGAUAGAGCAAGCCUGCUCCUUCCAGAAGCACGAGGGUCCUGUGGCGGUUUUUGCUUCAAACACCGCAGAACACAGAGCAAACCCCAUGACGCCGUCCUUCAACUAAACAGCCCAAAGCAGCAAACUAGAGGUUUCCAUUUUUAGUUUGCAAGGGGAACAACUGAGCUUUCAUGAGUUGGAAUUUGCUAACGUAAAUUGAGCCUUUGUAAGAGGGCUGAAAUUGACCCUGGAGACGGAAAGCACAGGAAAUAUUUGCUGUGGUCGGUGGGAGAGGACGCUCCGCAGACAAAGCCGCCUGCUUCUCCCGUCAGGCCUGCCUCCUCUCUAGGCAAAUAUUGGAGGGAUGACUUUUUUAUUUGCAGAGAGGAUUUGGCUAAUUUUGUUUUAUUUGUGUACCUUACAUUCAUGGAGCACUCUGCACAGUCUGUUGGAUAAUCUCUAAUUAUUCCUUUCCUCUUCACACCUGUGAGGCCGAUGCUCAGCAUAUUUCAGAGGAAGCUGGCACCAGGGAUGAGGGAAUCUGCCCAAGCAUGAGUCACCUGGAAUAUUAAACCAGAACCAACACACAAAUGAUCUGUGCAAAGAGGCAGCACCAUUGAAGUGUGUUUGACAGACAGAACUACUGUUUUGAAUCAACCCUCUGAGAUGUCUAAAUCAGCCUGUCAGACUUUGCUCCCUCUAUCACGUUUCCCAAGAAGAGGAUCAGAGAUAAAGAGAAAUAUGGAAAUUUGGAGUAAAAGGUGAGUCUAGAGAACAAGAAAAAAAAAAUGUGCCUUCAGAGACUACAACAAAGGAACCCAACAAAAUAUAGGACAAUCUGGUUACUAUGUUGAAGUCACAAAUGUGAAGAAAAUAAUAUACCAAAACGUUUCAGAAAAAUCCAACUACUAUAGCCAAGCGAAUGACACAUUAGUGACAUAAUGAACAAUUAGAAUUAAAACUUUUUAAAGUGUCGUAAAAAUAUUUCUUUAUUGUUUAAAAAUGAGAUUUCAAAAUGUUUCCAAACCUCAUCAGUGAAGGACAUACCUACAUUUCUAACCCAGAUGAGGUUUUUGAAAUGUGGAAUAUAGAAGCAGUCCCUUUAAAAAGAAAAAGAAUGCCUUUCAUGCUGGAUUUGUACAAUUUCCAUAUGUUUUAGUAAUCAAGAAGUACAGAAUCCCUUGAAAUGUGCAGAGAUUCAAGGCUAGAGCCAACAUAGCAUUCAGAGUCUUAAAUAAACAUAUAAUGUUUGGGAAAGCAAUAUUCUGGAUGUUAAUUUUCAAUCUCUAGGUAUACCUGUCAGUCUUUAAGAUGGAAACUUCUGCUUGUCAGAGUUUGAGGCCUCUGUGAACUUGCAGGGGGUGAGUCCUGGCUUGGCCCACUCACCGAUCCCCAAACACUGGCGAGGAAGAAACUGAAACAGCUGUAACCACUCACUUAAAUAUACCAUGGCAUUCGUACAAAUGAUCGUCGACUUUGAACCCAAGAGCUGGGGUCCAAUAGGAAGACAACUCCAAAUCAGGCCUUAAAAACCUGGUUUCAGAAUACACAUUGCUGCCUUGCCUUUGUGGGUUUGUUUAUUCGGCAAUUGCAUGUUAAGGAAGUGGGAGUAGAAAUCACUUAUUUGGACACUUAUUAAGCUGGUCAAAUUCUCCUAAUUCUAGAAUCUGAAGUACAGCAUCUGUGGAAAAAUACAGGGGAUGAGAUUAUAGAGACAGAAACCAGCCUGUAUAAUGCUAAGACUUUCUGUCUGGGGGUGCUAGACAUGUGAGCCCACCACCCUCCCCAGCUAGGUUCAUUUUUUUUUUUUUUUUUUUUUUUUUUUUCUGAAAAUUGCUCAGUUUCCAGCUUAGAAAAGAUUGGACAUAACAUGGAACCUUAGAUCUUUAGCCAAUAACCAUGUUUAUAGGUGCUGAGGACCUGAGAUCCUGCCUAGUUAGAAGCAGAUCUCAAGCACUCACGAUGGCCAUCAGGGAUGAGGUGGUCCAGCUUGAUUCUCUUCUGGAAACCACAGACAUAAAUAGUAUAAUCUAAACACUAACAUACCAUGAAUCAUGGUUUAUAUUUUUAAAUAUUAUUUGCAAAAAUAUAAAAUUGAAGUAAAUUAGUUGCCCCAUUGGUGAGCAAGGCUGUCUUAGAGCAGGCACGCAAGAUUUCUAAGUGGACUAUUUCAGGCCAUGACAACCUUGCCCUUGAACAUGGUCAGAAAGCCCAGGCUGUGCUUUUCAUAAAUAAGAUUCAUGUUCUUUAUUCUGGAACCUAGCACUGUGCCUGGCCCAAAGCUGGUAUUCAAUAGCUAUUCAUGCAGCUAAAUUGGGGAGCUUCUUAGCUGGUCUAACUUGUUCACCGUUCAUUCUGUACUUUGCUACGAUGUUAAUCAGCCUGAUACACUACAUACAAGAAGGAUGUGAACCCAAUCGAGCCCCAAAGCCCUUGUUUCAGGCCUUAGAACCUACUGUUCUUUCUUAUGUAUCCCUUCAUGAAUUCUACAAUGGCCUUCUGAGAAUCUUCUAUGCACCUAUAGUAGCACCUACUGUAUUACUUUUUAUAGUGUAAUUGUGUCUCUUUUUUUUUUUUUUUUUUUUUUUGAGACAGAGUUUUGCUGUUUCUGCCCAGGCUGGAGUGCAAUGGUGCGAUCUCGGCUCACUGCAACUUCCGCCUCCUGGGUUUAAGCAAUUCUCCUGCCUCAUCCUCCUGAGUACCUGGGACUACAGGCAUGCGCCAUCACUCCCAGCUAAUUUUGUAUUUUUAGUAGAGAUGGGAUUUCACUAUGUUGGCCAGGCUGGUUUCGAACUCCUUACCUCAGGUGGUCCGCCUGCCUCGGCCUCCCAAAGUGCUGGGAUUACAGGCAUGAGCCACCCCCACCGGCCCAUAAUUGUGUCUUAAAUAUCCCCCCCAAGAUAUAUUUUUUAAAAUAUCUUGUUUUGCCUUCCUGACUUUCUAAGCUGCGUGCCUUGCACUUGAGGCUGUGUCUGUUUACACCAGGAGAACGCUGCUUUCUUCACCCGAAUCCAGGCCGGUUCAGUGGCUGCUGGGGCCACCUGCAUUUUCUGCUUAUUCCCUGUCUACUUUAGAUCCACAAAAUGCUCCUUCACCACAUGCAGUAGCACCCAAGAAAGCAGUGCCUGCUAGACUAUUAAGCUGAUGACUGCAACAGUGCAGGGGGCACUCAUGAGGUGAGGGACAGAGCUGGGGGGCAGCGGGAACCAUUUCACCCAACUCGACGGCUCCUCUCACCCACAGGUCGACCCAGAUUCCUGUCUCAGUUCCUAGCCUUUCAAAGGAUAGUUUUGGGGUAAAAGUAGUAUUUUUAUAUACAUAUAUAGUAAAAAUAUAAAGAAAUGCCAGGAAGGACCAAGAUCAAAGUCAAGAUGGGUACUUUCCUCCCAUCAUCUGUGACAACAUGGAUGAACCUUGAAGACAUUGUGCUGAGCGAAGCAAACCAGGCACACGUAGACAGGCACCACAUGAUCUCACAUGGGCGAGCUGAAAGGGUUAAACUUAUAGCCGUAGAGAUAGAAUGGUGGCUCCCAGGGCCUGGGGGCUUGGGAGAUGUAGGUCAAAAGAUACAAAGUUUCAGUUAGACAGGAGGCACGAGUUCAAGAGCUGGGUUGUACAACAUGGAGACUACGGUUAAUAACAAUGUAUUAUAUACUUGAAAAUUGCCAAGCGAGUAUCUACUUGCUUUUGUGAUGUGUUCUCAUCACAAAACAGUGAGCUAAUUCAUAUGUUAAUUAGCUGGAUGUAGCCAUUCCCCAAUGUAUACAGAUUUCAAAACUCAUGUUGUACACCAUAAGUAUCUACAAUACUUAUUUGUCCGUUUAGAUAUUAAUUAAUUAAUGAACUAAAGGAAACAACUCGGGGAAAUAAGCAGAACCAAGGCCUUCAUCUUGUUUUGGAACAGCACAUGCACUGUGUAAAUUGAAGAAUAUGCAAAAACAGGCUGGGAGCAGUGGCUCACGCCUGUAAUCCCAGCACUUUGGGAGGCCGAGACGGGUGGAUCUUUUGAGGUCAGGAGUUCAAGACCAGCCUGGCCAACAUGGCGAAACCCCAUCUCUACUAAAAAUACAAAAAAUACCCAGGCGGUAGUGGCAUGUGCCUGUAAUCCCAGAUACUUGAGAGGCCGAGGUAGGAGAAUCGCUUGAUCCCGGGAGGCGGAGGUUGCGGUGAGCCGAAAUCGCACCACUGCACUCCAGUCUGGGCAACAGAGUGAGACCUGUC
Molecule: long non-coding RNA, 5489 nt
Filed under: Homo sapiens (human)
Lineage: Eukaryota; Metazoa; Chordata; Mammalia; Primates; Hominidae
Description: HSALNT0037159
Source: RNAcentral